GAGUUUGAUCAUGGCUCAGAACGAACGCUGGCGGCGUGCUUAACACAUGCAAGUCGAACGAGAAACCUCGAGCUUGCUCGAGGGAGUAAAGUGGCGCACGGGUGAGUAACACGUGGGUAAUCUACCCCCGAAUCUGGGAUAACUUCGCGAAAGCGUUGCUAAUACCGGAUAUUGUCCUAUUGGUUGUGACCUUUGGGAUGAAAGGCAACCUCUUCAUGAAAGUUGUCGUUCAGGGAUGGGCCCGCGUACCAUUAGCUUGUUGGUGGGGUAACGGCUCACCAAGGCUACGAUGGUUAGCUGGUCUGAGAGGAUGAUCAGCCACACUGGAACUGAAACACGGUCCAGACUCCUACGGGAGGCAGC
RNAcentral lists this ribosomal RNA (363 nucleotides) under uncultured bacterium. Its description in RNAcentral is "bacterial SSU rRNA". It matches the Rfam family "Bacterial small subunit ribosomal RNA", at positions 9 to 352 of the family's 1533-position model. The record is from RNAcentral.